UCUAACGGUGGAUGACAGACAGGACAGACCUCUGAUUUAUUCUGCAUUUACUUUACCUUCUGUUCCAGUUUUAAGGUACCCCUGUCCCUCAGAACGUUGUCAGGUACCCCUGUCCCUCAGAACGUUGUCAGGUACCCCUGUCCCUCAGAACGUUGUCAGGUACCCCUGUCCCUCAGAACGUUGUCAGGUACCCCUGUCCCUCAGAACGUUGUCAGGUACCCCUGUCCCUCAGAACGUUGUCAGGUACCCCUGUCCCUCAGAACGUUGUCAGGUUGUCCUGAACGUCAGGGCCUAAAUUCAUGGUGUUUCAGUAGGAGUGCUGGUGGAGGUUGUAAUGAAGAAGAGGUUUGGACUGCUUCUAGAUCAGAUAUGCUUUCUGAACUCAGUCCCCUCUACCCUCAGGCCCCUCACAGAAUAGGACCUGCUCUGAACAAGGUUCUCUACCAUCAGUCCCCUCAGACAGAAUAGGACCUGCCCUGAACAAGGUUCUCUACCCUCAGUCCCCUCAGACAGAAUAGGACCUGCCCUGAACAAGGUUCUCUACCCUCAGACAGAAUAGGACCUGCCCUGAACAAGGUUCUCUACCCUCAGACAGAAUAGGACCUGCCCUGAACAAGGUUCUCUACCCUCAGACAGAAUAGGACCUGCCCUGAACAAGGUUCUCUACCCUCAGACAGAAUAGGACCUGCCCUGAACAAGGUUCUCUACCCUCAGACAGAAUAGGACCUGCCCAGAACAAGGUUCUCUACCCUCAGACAGAAUAGGACCUGCCCUGAACAAGGUUCUCUACCCUCAGACAGAAUAGGACCUGCCCUGAACAAGGUUCUCUACCCUCAGUCCCCUCAGACAGAAUAGGACCUGCCCUGAACAAGGUUCUCUACCCUCAGACAGAAUAGGACCUGCCCUGAACAAGAUUCUCUACCCUCAGUCCCCUCAGACAGAAUAGGACCUGCCCUGAACAAGGUUCUCUACCCUCAGUCCCCUCAGACAGAAUAGGACCUACCCUGAACAAGGUUCUCUACCCUCAGACAGAAUAGGACCUACCCUGAACAAGGUUCUCUACCCUCAGACAGACUAGGACCUGCCCUGAACAAGGUUCUCUACCCUCAGACAGAAUAGGACCUGCCCUGAACACGGUUCUCUACCCUCAGACAGACUAGGACCUGCCCUGAACAAGGUUCUCUACCCUCAGACAGAAUAGGACCUGCCCUGAACACCGUUCUCUACCCUCAGACAGAAUAGGACCUGCCCUGAACAAGGUUCUCUACCCUCAGACAGACUAGGGCCUGCCCUGAACAAGGUUCUCUACCCUCAGACAGACUAGGGCCUGCCCUGAACAAGGUUCUCUACCCUCAGACAGAAUAGGACCUGCCCUGAACAAGGUUCUCUACCCUCAGUCCCCUCAGACAGAAUAGGACCUACCCUGAACAAGGUUCUCUACCCUCAGACAGAAUAGGACCUACCCUGAACAAGGUUCUCUACCCUCAGACAGAAUAGGACCUGCCCUGAACAAGGUUCUCUACCCUCAGACAGAAUAGGACCUGCCCUGAACAAGGUUCUCUACCCUCAGACAGAAUAGGACCUGCCCUGAACAAGGUUCUCUACCCUCAGACAGAAUAGGACCUGCCCUGAACAAGGUUCUCUACCCUCAGACAGAAUAGGACCUGCCCUGAACAAGGUUCUCUACCCUCAGUCCCCUCAGACAGAAUAGGACCUGCCCUGAACAAGGUUCUCUACCCUCAGUCCCCUCAGACAGAAUAGGACCUACCCUGAACAAGGUUCUCUACCCUCAGACAGAAUAGGACCUACCCUGAACAAGGUUCUCUACCCUCAGACAGAAUAGGACCUACCCUGAACAAGGUUCUCUACCCUCAGACAGAAUAGGACCUGCCCUGAACAAGGUUCUCUACCCUCAGACAGAAUAGGACCUACCCUGAACAAGGUUCUCUACCCUCAGUCCCCUCAGACAGAAUAGGACCUGCCCUGAACAAGGUUAUUUUUGUGACUGAGUGAAGUCAUCCACUCUGUCCUCAACAGGAGAACUCUGGACCAGACUGACCAGCGAAGUGUUGACCCCCGGUGGUCGUUACGACAACGUCACUUCCAGAAGGAAUUAACGACUUUUAAUAGUGGAUCAAAAUGUAAAUAUUACGUUUUUUAUUUUCAAGAAGGAAUAAUAUGUGGGGAUGUAAAUAAAUGAGUUUGAUGUUUGUUGUUGUUUUGAACAUAUGUGUAAUAUUAAAGGUUAUAGUCGUCUUUAAAGAGCAGCAUGAUCCAUGUAUGAACUGACUAUAACCAGACAACAGCAUUUUAUACCCAACUGUUAGUCACAAUUCAGCUCGGAUCAAUGAGGAAAUGUGUUUGGUAAUGCUAACCUGCCUGUUAAAUAUAUACUGAACAAACAUGUUUGGUAAUGCUGACCUGCCUGUUAAAUAUAUACUGAACAAACAUAUCAAUGAGGAAAUGUGUUUGGUAAUGCUAACCUGCCUGUUAAAUAUAUACUGAACAAACAUGGCAAUGAUUUACACUCCGUUCAUUUAAUGAAAUAAAUUCAUUCGGUCGUAA
Molecule: long non-coding RNA, 2565 nt
Organism: Oncorhynchus keta (chum salmon)
Lineage: Eukaryota; Metazoa; Chordata; Actinopteri; Salmoniformes; Salmonidae
Exons: 3
Source: RefSeq, a predicted model, not a curated record